CCAGCGCCAGCCCGCAAGCAGCUCCCAGCCCCUCUCCCGCGGUGCCGGGAGGAUGGGAGCAGGAGGACGAGCAGGGAAACGGCUGAGCAGAGGCAAAGGCUGGAGCUCUCCUCCUGGCAGGCACUGCUCGGGGGACACGAGUGUUCCUGAACACGGAGGUUACCCAGCAGCAGCAAUGCUCGGCUGGGGGAGUCCCUGGGAGUAUCGAAGCUGCCAAAGGCACAUGAUGACUGCACAGCCCCAGAAACAUGGCCAGCAGUGAGAGACCAGAACCAGCACACCAGCAACACUGCCAGCGUGGGCCCUUUCCCUGGGCACAGGCAGCUGCACCCUGAGGGCAAACCUGCCCCCUCUCCCCACUGCCCAGAUGUGCAAAGCAGAGCUGGCUCUCCAGGCUGGCUCCCUGCACAUCAACUCUGGCUGAAAACACAGCAACCCCUUCCCAGGGGGAUGCAGAGGCCCAGGGCACUGCCCAGUUGGGCCAGCAGUGGGGCAGAGGCUCUGCAAAGGCAUAGGGUGGUGGGAGGGUCUCUGCAGCACCUCCUCUGGCUCUGGAUCCUUGUGGCUAUCCCUGUGGCUGUUACCACACUUGGCCUGAGCUCUGGGCUGGCCAGAGGUCUGGCUGGUAUGGAGAUAACCCUGUGUCAGCCAAGGCUGCUCCCAAAUGUCUUUCCCGACUGAUGGAUGCCACAAGCUUGGGGCACCACGGGGCUUUUCUUCCCCAUCCUUUCCGACCCGGGGGCAGCAGAAGGAGGAGCCCAGCACGUUGCAUAGCUUGGUUUCUACCUCGGUCCCCAGCUGGGUGCACCCUGCCGGGGGGGCGGUGCCGGAUGCAGGGGCUGACUCCGGAGAUGCUCCAUCUGCUUCUCGUCAGGCUGCAGGGAGCAACGCUGCUGCCGGGGCCCGGCAGUGGGACAGAGUUGUGAUAGAUGGUCUGUUUAUCACGUUUCAGCUCUGCUCAGGAUGUUAGUGUUUGCCUGCAAAAGACAUUUUUUGGGCUUGGCUGCUCCUCCAUCCUCCCUCUCCUCCUGCUUCCCCCCCUGGUCCUUGACCUUGGGUCCAGAUGGGCUGAAGCGAGGGCAAAGGUCUGGGUGACAUCUCUCCUGCAGCCCCUGUCCCUUGCCCAGGGGAAGAGUUGGGCUCAGUCCUACCAACCUAGGAAUGGAUCAGGCCCAUACCUGAGUGGGGGAAGCCAAGGCUGAAGCCUUCCCACAGGGGCUGUCCAGCUGCAGGCUCUCCUCUGAUGAGGACAGGGAUAGCUGGAGCAUUCACAUGCUCCGUAUUCCCUGGAGCAGGGAAGAUGUGAUCAGCCCCACACUGCCCUGGGGAGUCCUGACCCCACCGAGAGGCAGCACUGGGCCCUGGGGCAAUUCCCAUAGCCCUCACUUCUUGCCCAGCUCCCCACCAGCUCUUGGGGAGGGGUACACAGAUUUGGAGGCAGAAGUCCCCCUGUCUAUCCCUGUCUGUCCCUGCAGAGCUGGGGUCAGGCUGAGCUACCAAGCCCAGGUCUGUCCUUCCAUCAUGUUGGGGAUUAGGGCACAGGGCUCUGGUGGGGGGGAGGCCUCUCUGCCUGCAUCCAGCCAGACAGAUGGACACACAGCCUUGCUGUGGCACGACCCACGGACGCAUGCCAGCUGCAGCAAGAGUGACCGUGGGCUCCUCCAUGUCUCCCAGCCCAAGGUGCAGUGCUGCAUCUCUGGUCAAUUGGGAGUCUGAGAUGAAGCACUGUAGCUCGGGAAGGGAGGAACUGCGCACCCUGGGGACCUCUGGGACCCCCCCACCCUCUGGGACAAGUGACACGAGGAGAGCUGGAGCCCUGGCUAUGGGAAGGGGCUCACCCCAAAGCUCUGGAUCCUUGCAGAGAGCAAGGGGGGACAGGAGGUGGGGAAGUUUCUCCUUGCAGAAGAGGGACCCCUAUAUCUGCUCAGUGGUUGGGCACUGGGCACCAGCAGGAGUAUGGGAGCCUUGUGUGGUUGUGGGGAGGGACAGCAGGGACCUGGCAGUGGCACCACCCAUCAGCCACAUGGGAGGAUGUAUGGGGCUGGUGGAGAGCCUGGGUCGCUGUGCCCUCAGGGUCCAGUUUUCCCAGGAAUCCCUUAGCGCUACGUUGGGGAUUCCUGGAAAUACUGUUCUUGGGGCCAUGGCUCUGCAGCUUGAGAUGGCCCAUCCCACGGGGAGCCACAGCCUGUGGAAGAGGUGACUGAGGUACGGGGAUGCUUGUGGGGGCUGUGAGUGGGAGGGGGAGCUCCCUGGCUACCCCAAACAUGGGGAGGUGGGUAAGCCAGCCCAGGCAGCCCCUGCUGCCCCAGGCUGGGAGGUAACAUGUCCCCGAGGGUCACAGCUCAUCAAGGGGACGUGGCUGACAGGCAGAUGGCCAUGCACACUACUCCUGUCCUGCACAUGCAACCCAGGGAGCAAUAAAGGUCUGGACUCCGGAGCGACUCUGUCCUGGGUAGUCCUUUGGGGCUAAGAGCAGGGUGAGAACCUGCAGUCUGGUGCCUGCACGGUUUGGGGCAGGAAGGGAUGAGAACCACUUGUGGAGCACUUCCCCGAGGGGCUGCUCCCUCCUUCCUCUCCCCCACCACAUCCUCCCCAGCCCCUGGUUCUGCCGUGCUCCUGCAAAGCUCCUGAUGCACCCAUCGUCCCCCUCCUUGCUGCUGGGCAGCCUGAGCACCCUGAGCAGCAGGCACUGGGAUCUCUCCCUGCAGCCUUCCGGGCCCACAUUAAUCACAGCCCUGCCAGCGGA
Calypte anna (Anna's hummingbird) is the source of this 2746-nucleotide long non-coding RNA. RefSeq lists it as uncharacterized. The transcript has 3 exons. Lineage: Eukaryota; Metazoa; Chordata; Aves; Apodiformes; Trochilidae. The record is from RefSeq and is a predicted model, not a curated record.